UUCUUCAUAAGGUGCUGAAGGAGUAAGGGAACAACCUCCAAUCUCUAGUUGGCAUAGUUUAUGGUUAAGACUACGACGGUAUCUGAUCGUCUUCGAUCCCCUAACUUUCGUUCUUGAUUAAUGAAAACAUCCUUGGCAAAUGCUUUCGCAUUAGUUUGUCUUUAACAAAUCUAAGAAUUUCACCUCUGACUGUUAAAUACAAAUGCCCCCAACUGUCCCUAUUAAUCAUUAUUCUUAUUGCAUAUCACAAAGCGGAGGAAAAGAAACCAACAGGGAUUGCCUUAGUAGCGGCGAGUGAAGCGGCAAAAGCUCAAAUUUGAAAUCUGGCACUUUCAGUGUCCGAGUUGUAAUUUGAAGAAGGUUUCUUUGAGUCUGGCUCUUGUCUAUGUUUCUUGGAUCAGAACGUCACAGAGGGUGAGAAUCCCAAAUGAUGAGAUGUCCCAGACAUAUGCAAAAUUCCUUAGAAGAGUUGAGUUGUUUGGAAAUGCAGCUCUAAGUGGGUGGUAAAUUCCAUCUAAAGCUAUAUAUUAAAGGAGACCGAUAGAGAUCAAUUCCAGUGAAAAAACGAAAAAUCGAACUUUGAAAAGAGAGUGCAAAAGUACGUGAAAUUGUGGAAAGGGAAGGGCUUGACAUCAGACUUGGUAUUGAUUAUGUUGCUCUUUCUCGGGUGGCCUCUACGGAAUACAACCCCAUCCACAGUUUGACCGUUAGGAUAAGUGCAAAGAAAUGUGGCACUGCUUCGGUAGUGUGUUGUCGUCUUUGUCGAUACUGCCUGCACAGAUUGAGGACCCGAAACGGCCAGGCAUGGUUCUGG
This 814-nucleotide ribosomal RNA is filed under the name Lodderomyces parapsilosis. RNAcentral's name for it is "Candida parapsilosis partial large subunit ribosomal RNA". The stretch from base 202 to 814 matches the Rfam family "Eukaryotic large subunit ribosomal RNA", at positions 1 to 624 of the family's 3401-position model. The record is from RNAcentral. Lineage: Eukaryota; Fungi; Ascomycota; Pichiomycetes; Serinales; Debaryomycetaceae.